Coffea arabica (coffee) is the source of this 213-nucleotide long non-coding RNA. RefSeq lists it as uncharacterized. The record is from RefSeq and is a predicted model, not a curated record. NCBI's taxonomy places the organism in Eukaryota, Viridiplantae, Streptophyta, Magnoliopsida, Gentianales, Rubiaceae.
UCAGAAUGUAUCACUUCAAGAGGUGGAAACAUUUUCAAUUCUGAUAUUUUUGUACCUGAGCACAAGAAUGUAUAGCAGGAAGGAAGAUGACAGCACCUACCUUUCAUUCUUUUCUGUUCUGUAGAGAAUUCAACUCGGACAUAUUAUUGCUUGUACACUUGCUGUUCGGCUUGUAGUUUUGCUUGUUUCCUUUUUCUAGAGAUGUUAGUCUUG